UCCAACACUCAGAUCUUCUCCUUAGUGUGUUUCUUUCUUCCCUUAUCUUAUUCGCAACCUUUAAUUCUCUGUCUUUCCUCUGUCAUCUUAUCCUAACAAUUACUUCUCUUUUUCUUCAUAUACAGAAUCAAAUUUCUUAAUUUGUAUAUGUUAAGUUUCCCAUCGCAUCUUUUAGAGAUGCCUCACAUCUGCAAUGGAAUUCUUUCCGGGAGACAUGUUUAGAAUCGAAGGUGGAUGAGGCAGAAGAAGAUGAUGUUUGGUGGUAAAGAGGAACCUUGUGGUGGAGCGCGAAUCCAUUUCUAUCUCUCCCGGUCUCGUGAUUCCUCUCAGCUUCAAGCCAUCUGGCUUUGUGGUGCUCGUUGACCUUUACGGCUGCUCUGAAUCCGGCUCAUGAGAAUCGCUUUGGCCUGAGACAACGAGACAUGCUUAAGAGAAUCAGGUUGUGGAAUCGUGACAGUCGGAUUUCUCUCCUCAGCCGCAGUGCAGUGGUGGUACUCGCAGCCACAGGGUGGUGGUCGUGGUGGCCGUCACUGUCAAUCCAAG
Long non-coding RNA from Brassica oleracea var. oleracea, 543 nucleotides. RefSeq lists it as uncharacterized. The transcript has 2 exons. Lineage: Eukaryota; Viridiplantae; Streptophyta; Magnoliopsida; Brassicales; Brassicaceae. The record is from RefSeq and is a predicted model, not a curated record.